ACACUCGUUCUUAGAGGAUUCCUUUCAAUGGAGAAUUGUGUGGUAAAGAACACCAAAAUUCUGCUAACAGAACUUCCCACGAAUCCACUGAAGAAUCGAAAAAAUGUUUGAAGUAAGUUUACUAAAAAUGACUGGACAUUGCUAGCCGUGAUAUCACACGAUAUCUGUUCAAGCUACUUGGUGUUAACACGUUUAAUCAAAUCGUUGCCUUUGAAACUGAUGAAAGAGAAAAUUCGCUAUAUUGCCUAUGACAUCGAGAUGGAACAGCGAGUUUUUAGGCACUAUUCCAACCACAUUUAAUAAAUGUUGAAGGACAAGACAUCGCUGAGUUAGUGUUUAACACCAUACAAACGACCGAUAUCGAAAUACGACCGGCAUUAUACAAUCAUAUCGUGUCAUCUGGUGAUUCGUGUGCUCAAGAAUGAAGUGAAUAAAUCACCGGAAAAAAUUUAAAAUUCGUCUUGAAUAUCCACUAAGACAAAUAAGUAGAUAUAUGUAAUCUUCAUCGGCGGCUGUUUUUUGGCUGAAAUCGCAAAGGAUCGCAAUGAUUUUAGAAGUACAUAUGUAUGUGUGAAACAAGAAAGAUAAGAAAAGUUUUACAGAAACUUACAAAGAGCUCACAGUUAUAGCAAGGGCCAAAAGUUAUUGAAAGAAAUUUAAUAUUGUUAAAUGUGGGAAAUUUAUUUAGACACGAAAAAAAUGGCGGCAGAACUGAAAGUUGACGAAAAAACCCAAGAAUCUGCGGCCGACAAGCAAAACUCACUUUUCUAAAAAAUUAUUGAGCGGAUUUCAGCUGAGUUUGCUGUUUCCAGAAAAAGUAUGUGGUUUGAAAACCAAAGAAAUGGGAAAUCUUAUUGACUGUUUGAU
Bactrocera tryoni is the source of this 867-nucleotide long non-coding RNA. RefSeq lists it as uncharacterized. The transcript has 4 exons. The record is from RefSeq and is a predicted model, not a curated record. Lineage: Eukaryota; Metazoa; Arthropoda; Insecta; Diptera; Tephritidae.